CCCUUAGAUGUUCUGGGCCACACGCGCGUUACACUGAUGAAGCCAGCGAGUAUAUCGCCUUCACCGGAAGGUGCGGGUAAUCUUGUGAAACUUCAUCGUGCUGGGGAUAGACCAUUGCAAUUAUUGGUCUUGAACGAGGAAUUCCUAGUAAGCAUGAGUCAUCAACUCAUGCUGAUUACGUCCCUGCCCUUUGUACACACCGCCCGUCGCUACUACCGAUUGAAUGGUUUAGUGAGAUCUCGGGAUUGGAGACGUUGCGCCGCAAGGCACAUCGUCCUCGAGAACUUGAUCAAACUUGAUCAUUUAGAGGAAGUAAAAGUCGUAACA
RNAcentral lists this ribosomal RNA (327 nucleotides) under uncultured eukaryote. Its description in RNAcentral is "partial 18S ribosomal RNA". It matches the Rfam family "Eukaryotic small subunit ribosomal RNA", at positions 1470 to 1796 of the family's 1831-position model. The record is from RNAcentral.